Molecule: ribosomal RNA, 253 nt
Filed under: uncultured bacterium
Lineage: Bacteria
Description: partial 16S ribosomal RNA
Rfam family: Bacterial small subunit ribosomal RNA
Source: RNAcentral
UACGGAGGGCGCAAGCGUUGUUCGGAAUUACUGGGCGUAAAGCGCGUGCAGGUGGCUGAGUAAGUCGAAUGUGAAAGCCCCGAGCUCAACUCGGGAACUGCAUCCGAAACUGCUCGGCUAGAGUCCCGGAGAGGAAGGCAGAAUUCCCAAUGUAGGGGUGAAAUCCGUAGAUAUUGGGAGGAAUACCGGUGGCGAAGGCGGCCUUCUGGACGGUGACUGACACUCAGACGCGAAAGCGUGGGGAGCAAACAGG